UGGGGAAUAUUGCACAAUGGGCGCAAGCCUGAUGCAGCCAUGCCGCGUGUAUGAAGAAGGCCUACGGGUUGUAAAGUACUUUCAGCGGGGAGGAAGGGAGUAAAGUUAAUACCUUUGCUCAUUGACGUUACCCGCAGAAGAAGCACCGGCUAACUCCGUGCCAGCAGCCGCGGUAAUACGGAGGGUGCAAGCGUUAAUCGGAAUUACUGGGCGUAAAGCGCACGCAGGCGGUUUGUUAAGUCAGAUGUGAAAUCCCCGGGCUCAACCUGGGAGCUGCAUCUGAUACUGGCAAGCUUGAGUCUCGUAGAGGGGGGUAGAAUUCCAGGUGUAGCGGUGAAAUGCGUAGAGAUCUGGAGGAAUACCGGUGGCGAAGGCGGCCCCCUGGACGAAGACUGACGCUCAGGUGCGAAAGCGUGGGGAGCAAACAGG
Molecule: ribosomal RNA, 429 nt
Filed under: Chloroflexota bacterium
Lineage: Bacteria; Bacillati; Chloroflexota
Description: Chloroflexi bacterium partial 16S ribosomal RNA
Rfam family: Bacterial small subunit ribosomal RNA
Source: RNAcentral